UUGACCUCGGAUCAGGUAGGGAUACCCGCUGAACUUAAGCAUAUCAAUAAGCGGAGGAAAAGAAACCAACAGGGAUUGCCUCAGUAACGGCGAGUGAAGCGGCAAGAGCUCAAAUUUGAAAUCUGGCUCCUUCGGGGUCCGAGUUGUAAUUUGUAGAGGAUGCUUCGGGUGCGGCCCCCGUCUAAGUGCUCUGGAACGGGCCAUCGGAGAGGGUGAAAAUCCCGUCUGGGAUGGGGUGUCCGCGUCCAUGUGAAGCUCCUUCGACGAGUCGAGUUGUUUGGGAAUGCAGCUCUAAAUGGGUGGUAAAUUUCAUCUAAAGCUAAAUACUGGCCGGAGACCGAUAGCGCACAAGUAGAGUGAUCGAAAGAUGAAAAGCACUUUGAAAAGAGAGUUAAACAGCACGUGAAAUUGUUGAAAGGGAAGCGCUUGCGACCAGACUCGCUUCCGGGGUUCAGCCGGCUUUCGGGCCGGUGUACUUCCCCGGGGGCGGGCCAGCGUCGGUUUGGGCGGCCGGUCAAAGGCCCCUGGAAUGUAACGCCUCUCGGGGCGCCUUAUAGUCAGGGGUGUCAUGCGGCCAGCCUGGACCGAGGAACGCGCU
This 598-nucleotide ribosomal RNA is filed under the name Aspergillus ruber. RNAcentral's name for it is "eukaryotic LSU rRNA". It matches the Rfam family "Eukaryotic large subunit ribosomal RNA", at positions 1 to 601 of the family's 3401-position model. The record is from RNAcentral. Lineage: Eukaryota; Fungi; Ascomycota; Eurotiomycetes; Eurotiales; Aspergillaceae.